CGGCAGGCUUAACACAUGCAAGUCGAGGGGUAACAGAGGUAGCUUGCUACUUGCUGACGACCGGCGCACGGGUGCGUAACGCGUAUAGAAUCUACCUUUAUACUGGGGGAUAGCCUUUGGAAACGAAGAUUAAUACCCCAUAGUAUGUUUGAAUGGCAUCAUUUGGACAUUAAAGUUUCGGCGGUAUAAGAUGACUAUGCGUUCUAUUAGUUUGUUGGUAAGGUAACGGCUUACCAAGACUACGAUAGAUAGGGGUCCUGAGAGGGAGAUCCCCCACACUGGUACUGAGACACGGACCAGACUCCUACGGGAGGCAGCAGUGAGGAAUAUUGGACAAUGGAGGCAACUCUGAUCCAGCCAUGCCGCGUGUAGGAAGACUGCCCUAUGGGUUGUAAACUACUUUUAUAUGGGAAGAAUAAGGUCUACGUGUAGACUGAUGACGGUACCAUAAGAAUAAGCACCGGCUAACUCCGUGCCAGCAGCCGCGGUAAUACGGAGGGUGCAAGCGUUAUCCGGAAUCAUUGGGUUUAAAGGGUCCGUAGGCGGGCAUAUAAGUCAGUGGUGAAAGUCUGUGGCUCAACCAUAGAAUUGCCAUUGAUACUGUAUGUCUUGAAUUAUUGUGAAGUGGUUAGAAUAUGUAGUGUAGCGGUGAAAUGCUUAGAGAUUACAUAGAAUACCGAUUGCGAAGGCAGAUCACUAACAAUAUAUUGACGCUGAUGGACGAAAGCGUAGGUAGCGAACAGGAUUAGAUACCCUGGUAGUCUACGCCGUAAACGAUGGAUACUAGUUGUUUGGUUUUCGGACUGAGUGACUAAGCGAAAGUGAUAAGUAUCCCACCUGGGGAGUACG
Molecule: ribosomal RNA, 849 nt
Filed under: Flavobacteriaceae bacterium ACEMC 19-1
Lineage: Bacteria; Pseudomonadati; Bacteroidota; Flavobacteriia; Flavobacteriales; Flavobacteriaceae
Description: bacterial SSU rRNA
Rfam family: Bacterial small subunit ribosomal RNA
Source: RNAcentral